GGCGGAGAACGGUGGUCCGGCGGCGGCGCUGCUGCGGAGGACGGUGGUCCGGCGGCGGCGCGUGGAACUCACGCGCGCGCGGAGGUGAAACUUCCGGAGGCGCGUACGGCUUCGUCCGGGAUCCGAUCGUGACGCGGUUGGUGUCUACGGCUUCGUCUUGACGAGAGGAACACGAUGAUGGGGCGGAGGACGGUGGUCCGGCGGUGGCGCGUGGAACUCACGCGCGCGCGGAGGUGAAACUUCCGGAGGCGCGUACGGCUUCGUCCGGGCUCCGAUCGUGACGCGGUUGGUGUCUACGGCUUCGUCUUGACGAGAGGAACACGAUGAUGGCCUUGGAUGCACGAAAUUCACUUCGGUUAGAAAGUUAUGACCGAUUUACUAAAACGACCGAAACAUAACUCAAACACAUGGCGGUUUCCGGUUACCUCGAGCUGCGGUUGAUGGUGAUGACGAGCUUGACGACGUCCUGGCGUGCGGUGGCUCCGGCGAGGACUCCUGGUGAGCUUUCU
This 509-nucleotide long non-coding RNA is filed under the name Brassica napus (rape). RNAcentral's name for it is "long non-coding RNA (BNAP_LNC010187)". The record is from RNAcentral. Lineage: Eukaryota; Viridiplantae; Streptophyta; Magnoliopsida; Brassicales; Brassicaceae.